AAUAGAUACCCUGGUAGUCCACGCCGUAAACGAUGAGUGCUAAGUGUUAGAGGGUUUCCGCCCUUUAGUGCUGCAGCUAACGCAUUAAGCACUCCGCCUGGGGAGUACGGUCGCAAGACUGAAACUCAAAGGAAUUGACGGGGGCCCGCACAAGCGGUGGAGCAUGUGGUUUAAUUCGAAGCAACGCGAAGAACCUUACCAGGUCUUGACAUCCUCUGACAACUCUAGAGAUAGAGCGUUCCCCUUCGGGGGACAGAGUGACAGGUGGUGCAUGGUUGUCGUCAGCUCGUGUCGUGAGAUGUUGGGUUAAGUCCCGCAACGAGCGCGAACCCUUGAUCUUAGUUGCCAGCAUUUAGUUGGGCACUCUAAGGUGACUGCCGGUGACAAACCGGAGGAAGGUGGGGAUGACGUCAAAUCAUCAUGCCCCUUAUGACCUGGGCUACACACGUGCUACAAUGGAUGGUACAAAGGGCUGCAAGACCGCGAGGUCAAGCCAAUCCCAUAAAACCAUUCUCAGUUCGGAUUGU
Molecule: ribosomal RNA, 527 nt
Filed under: uncultured bacterium
Lineage: Bacteria
Description: bacterial SSU rRNA
Rfam family: Bacterial small subunit ribosomal RNA
Source: RNAcentral